AUUGAACGCUGGCGGCAGGCCUAACACAUGCAAGUCGAGCGGAUGAAGGGAGCUUGCUCCUGGAUUCAGCGGCGGACGGGUGAGUAAUGCCUAGGAAUCUGCCUGGUAGUGGGGGAUAACGUCCGGAAACGGGCGCUAAUACCGCAUACGUCCUGAGGGAGAAAGUGGGGGAUCUUCGGACCUCACGCUAUCAGAUGAGCCUAGGUCGGAUUAGCUAGUUGGUGGGGUAAAGGCCUACCAAGGCGACGAUCCGUAACUGGACUGAGAGGAUGAUCAGUCAAACUGGAACUGAGACACGGUCCAGACUCCUACGGGAGGCAGCAGUGGGGAAUAUUGGACAAUGGGCGAAAGCCUGAUCCAGCCAUGCCGCGUGUGUGAAGAAGGUCUUCGGAUUGUAAAGCACUUUAAGUUGGGAGGAAGGGCAGUAAGUUAAUACCUUGCUGUUUUGACGUUACCAACAGAAUAAGCACCGGCUAACUUCGUG
Molecule: ribosomal RNA, 484 nt
Filed under: uncultured bacterium
Lineage: Bacteria
Description: partial 16S ribosomal RNA
Rfam family: Bacterial small subunit ribosomal RNA
Source: RNAcentral